GUGCCAGCAGCCGCGGUAAUACAGAGGGUGCGAGCGUUGUCCGGAAUCACUGGGCGUAAAGGGCGCGUAGGCGGCUGGCUAAGCGGGUGGUGAAAGCCCGGGGCUCAACCCCGGGUCGGCCAUGCGAACUGGUCAGCUGGAGCACGGUAGAGGCACAUGGAAUUCCGGGUGUAGCGGUGGAAUGCGUAGAGAUCCGGAAGAACACCGGUGGCGAAGGCGGUGUGCUGGGCCGUAGCUGACGCUGAGGCGCGACAGCGUGGGGAGCAAACAGGAUUAGAUACCCUGGUAGUCC
Molecule: ribosomal RNA, 292 nt
Filed under: uncultured bacterium
Lineage: Bacteria
Description: partial 16S ribosomal RNA
Rfam family: Bacterial small subunit ribosomal RNA
Source: RNAcentral